This 497-nucleotide ribosomal RNA is filed under the name uncultured bacterium. RNAcentral describes it as "partial 16S ribosomal RNA". It matches the Rfam family "Bacterial small subunit ribosomal RNA", at positions 28 to 507 of the family's 1533-position model. The record is from RNAcentral.
GAUGAACGCUGGCGGCGUGCCUAAUACAUGCAAGUCGAGCGAACAGACGAGGAGCUUGCUCCUCUGACGUUAGCGGCGGACGGGUGAGUAACACGUGGAUAACCUACCUAUAAGACUGGGAUAACUUCGGGAAACCGGAGCUAAUACCGGAUAAUAUAUUGAACCGCAUGGUUCAAUAGUGAAAGACGGUUUUGCUGUCACUUCUAGAUGGAUCCGCGCCGCAUUAGCUAGUUGGUAAGGUAACGGCUUACCAAGGCAACGAUGCGUAGCCGAACUGAGAGGGUGAUCGGCCACACUGGAACUGAGACACGGUCCAGACUCCUACGGGAGGCAGCAGUAGGGAAUCUUCCGCAAUGGGCGAAAGCCUGACGGAGCAACGCCGCGUGAGUGAUGAAGGUCUUCGGAUCGUAAAACUCUGUUAUUAGGGAAGAACAAAUGUGUAAGUAACUAUGCACGUCUUGACGGUACCGAAUCAGAAAGCCACGGCUAACUACGUG